Molecule: non-coding RNA, 45 nt
Filed under: Schistosoma haematobium
Lineage: Eukaryota; Metazoa; Platyhelminthes; Trematoda; Strigeidida; Schistosomatidae
Source: RNAcentral
AUCCAGCUAACGAGUCCCGAAUAGAUGGAAACGCACGUCCUGGAU